GAUGAAGAACGUAGCGAAAUGCGAUAAGUAAUGUGAAUUGCAGAAUUCUGUGAAUCAUCGAAUCUUUGAACGCACAUUGCGCCCUCUGGUAUUCCGGGGGGCAUGCCUGUCCGAGCGUCAUUUGCAACCCUCAAGCCCGGCUUGUGUGAUGGGUGCCGUCCCCUACGGGACGCGCCCCGAAGGCAAUGGCGGCGUCGCGGUUAUCCGAUCAGCCAAAGUGUAUGGGGCUUUGUCACUCACUUUACGGCCCGGACCGGCGCCAGUCCGAAUCAAUCUUUUUUCUAAAGUUGACCUCGGAUCAGGUAGGGAUACCCGCUGAACUUAAGCAUAUCAAUAAGCGGAGGA
RNAcentral lists this unclassified non-coding RNA (345 nucleotides) under soil metagenome. RNAcentral's name for it is "partial contains 5.8S ribosomal RNA, internal transcribed spacer 2, and large subunit ribosomal RNA". The stretch from base 1 to 120 matches the Rfam family "5.8S ribosomal RNA", at positions 35 to 154 of the family's 154-position model. The record is from RNAcentral.